UACGGGGGGGGCAAGCGUUGUUCGGAAUUACUGGGCGUAAAGGGCUCGUAGGUGGCCAACUAAGUCAACCGUGAAAUCCCUCAGCUUAACUGGGGAACUGCGUGUGAUACUGGAUGGCUUGGAUUUGGGAGAGGGAUGCGGAAUUCCAGGUGUAGCGGUGAAAUGCGUAGAUAUCUGGAGGAACACCGGUGGCGAAGGCGGCAUCCUGGACCAAUAUUGACGCUGAGGAGCGAAAGCCAGGGGAGCAAACGGG
Molecule: ribosomal RNA, 253 nt
Filed under: uncultured bacterium
Lineage: Bacteria
Description: partial 16S ribosomal RNA
Rfam family: Bacterial small subunit ribosomal RNA
Source: RNAcentral